GUCGAGCGAACAGACGAGGAGCUUGCUCCUUUGANGUUAGCGGCGGACGGGUGAGUAACACGURGGUAACCUACCUAUAAGACUGGGAUAACUUCGGGAAACCGGAGCUAAUACCGGAUAAUAUUUCGAACCGCAUGGUUCGAUAGUGAAAGAUGGCUUUGCUAUCACUUAUAGAUGGACCUGCGCCGUAUUAGCUAGUUGGUAAGGUAACGGCUUACCAAGGCAACGAUACGUAGCCGACCUGAGAGGGUGAUCGGCCACACUGGAACUGAGACACGGUCCAGACUCCUACGGGAGGCAGCAGUAGGGAAUCUUCCGCAANGGGCGAAAGCCUGACGGAGCAACGCCGCGUGAGUGAUGAAGGUCUUCGGAUCGUAAAACUCUGUUAUUAGGGAANAACAAACGUGUAAGUAACUGUGCACGUCUUGACGGUACCUAAUCANAAAGCCACGGCUAACUACGUGCCAGCAGCCGCGGUAAUACGUAGGUGGCAAGCGUUAUCCGGAAUUAUUGGGCGUAAAGCGCGCGUAGGCGGUUUUUUAAGUCUGAUGUGAAAGCCCACGGCUCAACCGUGGAGGGUCAUUGGAAACUGGAAAACUUGAGUGCAGAAGAGGAAAGUGGAAUUCCAUGUGUAGCGGUGAAAUGCGCANAGAUAUGGAGGAACACCAGUGGCGAAGGCGACUUUCUGGUCUGUAACUGACGCUGAUGUGCGAAAGCGUGGGGGAUCAAACAGGAUUAGAUACCCUGGUAGUCCACGCCGUAANCGAUGANUGCUAAGUGUUAGGGGGUUUCCGCCCCCUUAGUGCUGCAGCUAACGCAUUAAGCACUC
This 829-nucleotide ribosomal RNA is filed under the name Staphylococcus sp. 6t1. RNAcentral's name for it is "bacterial SSU rRNA". It matches the Rfam family "Bacterial small subunit ribosomal RNA", at positions 61 to 869 of the family's 1533-position model. Lineage: Bacteria; Bacillati; Bacillota; Bacilli; Caryophanales; Staphylococcaceae. The record is from RNAcentral.